UGUUCACAUGUUCUGUAGCAAGGAGUUGUAUACAUUAGAAAAAUCGAGAGUAUGGAUUUCUGUGCGGCCGUCUUAGUACUCCCGAAGAGACUGAAAGUUUUUCUUAGAUUUGGGGGUGUCAGAUAUCUAAAUCUGCUUAUGAUAUUGUCACCACGAUUGUCAUGCUCUCAACUUAUGUUUGUAUAGAUUUCGUGAAUGGCAAAUGAAGGCGCCGAUGAUACGAUCAGCAGGAUUGGCUGACGAUAGACUUUCCGAAUUCACAAAAUCGGAACAUUCCCCAGCAAGCAUGUUUAAAUGGUGAAUUAACAGGUGGUGACUUGCACCGAGAAGGACCACAGACCCUGGGACCCAUACCAGAUAGGACUGAGAGAGUACAUUGAACGUAUACAGAGAAGGGCAGCACAAUGGUCACAGGUUUGUUUAACCCAUGGGAGCGUGUCACAAAGAUACUGAAGGAACUGAUCUGGAAGACUCGUCAAGAUAGAUGUAAACUCUACUGAGAAAGUCUACUGACGAAGCUUAAAGAAGCAGCUUUAAGGGGCGGAUGUAAUAGAAAAUGUAAACAUUUAUUUAAAAAAUAAUUUCAGCCACAUUUAUUAUUGUACAAAUAUAAAAUUUUGCAUGUGUAAAGCAAAAGAGCUGUGUUUUAAUGGAAAAAUAUAAUAAAAAUAUGCAGGAUUAA
Schistocerca nitens (vagrant locust) is the source of this 682-nucleotide long non-coding RNA. RefSeq lists it as uncharacterized. The record is from RefSeq and is a predicted model, not a curated record. NCBI's taxonomy places the organism in Eukaryota, Metazoa, Arthropoda, Insecta, Orthoptera, Acrididae. The transcript has 3 exons.